This 936-nucleotide long non-coding RNA is filed under the name Homo sapiens (human). RNAcentral describes it as "HSALNT0022639". The record is from RNAcentral. Lineage: Eukaryota; Metazoa; Chordata; Mammalia; Primates; Hominidae.
AUGGCGCUGACUGCUUUGAUGAAAAUAGAACUGAGCAAUGCAUAUGGAGGGGUGACAGGAGACCAGAGGGGUGUCAAGGGCCUCUCCUGAGCUGAGAGUGGGAUGAGGAUAAGAAGCCAGCCAGGCCCUCAGCCUAGCGGUGCAGAGAGGACAUGGAUCUUCCCGAGAUGCCCACAGUCUAUGAGAGAGAAAGACCAAGAAACCGCUGGAGGACUGGGACAGAGGAUGGAACUCAGAGGUGAGAGGGUUGGACUCUGGAUGUUUCCUUUGGAAAACUGCAGACAAAUUUCAUAGUGGGAAAUUUCAUCUUUCAUGAAGAGCUUGUAGGCUUCCUGCAACAACCAUGGAAAUGUGUCCACUGGAUCUCUCUCCAAGAAGGAACUUGCCAAUCAGCCAUGAGAAGUGCAGUGAGCUGUCAUUCCCCCAGGUGCAACAUUUAGCCGAGGCCAGGCUCUUCCCAGGAAGACCCCAGCCAAGGACAGAACAGGACUAAAUGAAGAUCAAGUCUGAAAGUCAUUCACUUUGUCAUCUGUUGGCUCUACCUUUGACUCAAGUGCCAGCCUCUUCAUCUCUCUCCUGGAUUCCUAUAAUACCUUCUCAGCUUCGGCUGUCAUUUCCCCUCCACACACAGCCAGCAUGAGUGACUGCAAAAUCAAAGUCCUGAGCUGGUCUCCCCACUCACUCAAAGGCCCUGUAGGACAGUGUCCCUCUGUGAUGGCAUAGCCACGCUGGCCUCUUGGCUGUUCCUCAGAUAUCCCAUGCUGCUGCCACCUUGAGCACUUGCUGGUUUAUCUGCCUGAUUCAAUGCUCUUCUCCCGACAUUUAUCCACAUGGACCCAUCUGCAAAGUUCUCAAGUUUCUGCUCAGAGUCACCUCAUCAGUCCCAAGAGGAUGUUCCUGGUCAGUCAGCCUUCCAGAUGGUCAUUCAGGGAUCCA